This 208-nucleotide ribosomal RNA is filed under the name uncultured bacterium. RNAcentral's name for it is "partial 16S ribosomal RNA". It matches the Rfam family "Bacterial small subunit ribosomal RNA", at positions 568 to 776 of the family's 1533-position model. The record is from RNAcentral.
UGCGUAGGUGGUUUCUUAAGUCAGAGGUGAAAGGCUACGGCUCAACCGUAGUAAGCCUUUGAAACUGGGAAACUUGAGUGCAGGAGAGGAGAGUGGAAUUCCUAGUGUAGCGGUGAAAUGCGUAGAUAUUAGGAGGAACACCAGUGGCGAAGGCGGCUUUCUGGACGGUAACUGACGCUGAGGCGCGAAAGCGUGGGGAGGCAAAACA